GAUGAACGCUGGCGGCGUGCCUAAUACAUGCAAGUCGAGCGAACAGACGAGGAGCUUGCUCCUCUGACGUUAGCGGCGGACGGGUGAGUAACACGUGGAUAACCUACCUAUAAGACUGGGAUAACUUCGGGAAGCCGGAGCUAAUACCGGAUAAUAUAUUGAACCGCAUGGUUCAAUAGUGAAAGACGGUUUUGCUGUCACUUAUAGAUGGAUCCGCGCCGCAUUAGCUAGUUGGUAAGGUAACGGCUUACCAAGGCAACGAUGCGUAGCCGACCUGAGAGGGUGAUCGGCCACACUGGAACUGAGACACGGUCCAGACUCCUACGGGAGGCAGCAGUAGGGAAUCUUCCGCAAUGGGCGAAAGCCUGACGGAGCAACGCCGCGUGAGUGAUGAAGGUCUUCGGAUCGUAAAACUCUGUUAGUAGGGAAGAACAAAUGUGUAAGUAACUAUGCACGUCUUGACGGUACCUAAUCAGAAAGCCACGGCUAACUACGUG
This 497-nucleotide ribosomal RNA is filed under the name uncultured bacterium. Its description in RNAcentral is "partial 16S ribosomal RNA". It matches the Rfam family "Bacterial small subunit ribosomal RNA", at positions 28 to 507 of the family's 1533-position model. The record is from RNAcentral.